GAAAUGUUUAAGCAUUUGGAGAAGCAAGGUGAAGUCCUCAUGGAGGCGCAUCGGGCGAUGUCACAUGAGCUACAUCGGCUUCAGAGGAAGAAAUGCUUAUGCAGAAACUGUAUGAGCUCAUGUAUAUAAAAGGCCUGUUAAAAAAGGAAAAGAGAGGAGACAAUGAUUCAAGUAU
Molecule: non-coding RNA, 175 nt
Organism: Musa acuminata subsp. malaccensis (wild Malaysian banana)
Lineage: Eukaryota; Viridiplantae; Streptophyta; Magnoliopsida; Zingiberales; Musaceae
Source: RefSeq, a predicted model, not a curated record